RNAcentral lists this microRNA (21 nucleotides) under Ciona intestinalis (vase tunicate). RNAcentral describes it as "cin-miR-4102-3p". The record is from miRBase by way of RNAcentral. Lineage: Eukaryota; Metazoa; Chordata; Ascidiacea; Phlebobranchia; Cionidae.
UGACGCCAUCGCGUAUUGGUU